AUGAAGGGCACUGUAAAGAGUCUCGACGACCCAAGGGUGAUCUUCUCUUUCGGCAUGGGUGGUGGCAUUGGUGUGCUGCACAUCGCAGCCGUCGGAGGGCAUCUUGAGGUUUGCAAAUACUUGGUGGAGGAACUCGGGGGAGAUGUGAAUGCUCCUGCUCCUGGAGUAGGAGACUUUGCAGGUGUGACACCCUUUAUGUCAUCUGCUCAGUCUGGCGAUGUUUCUACUGUGAAGUAUUUGCUUGAUCAUGGCGGUGAUCUAACAAAGUCAGAUGCUAAAGGACGCACAGUUCUCCACCAUGCGGCAUGCAUAGGAAGCUGUACGGUCACCGAGUUCCUACUUUCAAAAGGAGUAGCUGUUGACAUAGACUGUGGCCGUGGUACACCACUCCAUCAAGCUGCUACUAAUGAACAAGAUAAAACAGUGAAGAUUUUGUUGGAACACCAUGCAGAUCCUAACGCCACUGUCGUCGGAAUUGGUACUGCCCUGAUGGGUGCCCUUCUUUACCGUUCUUUGAAGUGCAUGAAGCUGCUGAUCAAGGCCAGUAUUCUGUUUUCUAUAUCCGUUCAUCGCUAUGUUCUACCAUCUCAGCCAUGCUUUUGUGUCAAUCUACAUGGAGAGGGAGCCGUGACACGUUCUAUUCCACAAUCCUUUUUACAGGGUGGUGCUGAUGUCAAUCGAGGGAGCUCCCUUCCGAUGACUCCCUUAGUGUUCACUACAGGGUGGGGAGGCUAUACAAACUUUGUGAAGUUUCUGUUAAAGGCAGGAGCGGAUCCUAAUAUUCCUGAUGCUGAUAGAAGGCAGCUUGAACAAACAAAAGCUACGCUCAAGGCACAUGCAGAUCAUUUAUUCAGGCUGAAGGACUACAAGGCAAUAGAUGUCGCGCCGAGUGCAACAUUGUACGCGAACAGGAGUCUUUGCAAACUGCUGCUGGAUGACGGUGAAGGUGCUCUGUCAGAUGCUCUCAGAUGCAGAAUGCUGCGACCUAACUGGGUGAAAGCUUGCUACCGUCAGGCUGCAGCUCACAAGCUACUCAAAGAGUAUAAACAAGCUUGUGAUGCUCUCCUGGACGCUUAA
RNAcentral lists this ribosomal RNA (1077 nucleotides) under Triticum aestivum (bread wheat). RNAcentral describes it as "partial small subunit ribosomal RNA". Lineage: Eukaryota; Viridiplantae; Streptophyta; Magnoliopsida; Poales; Poaceae. The record is from RNAcentral.